CGCAGGCUGAUAGCUAAACAUCUAGUAAAAGACUGAGAUAAAAAUUCUCUUUAAUCUAGAUCAACUUGCUAUCUUGAGUGUUUUGGGUGACUUAUCACAUUCUUGAAGAAAGGGUGAAAUCUGUUGAUAACUGGAAGAUGUUCAAAAGCGAAAGCAAUCGUCAAAGAAACUCUGACGCUGAGGCACUAAGGCGUGGGGAUCGAAAAGGAUUAGAGACCCUUGUAGUCCACGCACUAAACCAUGGGUGUUCAAUAUCUUGAAAAAGUUUUUAGGGAAUUUAAAGCUAACGCGUCAAACAUCCCGCCUGGGGAAUGUGGCCGCAAGGUCUAAACUCAACGGAAUUGACGGUGGCUCAUACAAGG
RNAcentral lists this ribosomal RNA (362 nucleotides) under Nannengaella sulphurea. RNAcentral describes it as "SSU rRNA". It matches the Rfam family "Bacterial small subunit ribosomal RNA", at positions 570 to 930 of the family's 1533-position model. The record is from RNAcentral. Lineage: Eukaryota; Evosea; Eumycetozoa; Physariida; Physaraceae.